AAGCUCGUAGUUGAACCUUGGGCCUGGCUGGCCGGUCCGCCUCACCGCGUGUACUGGUCCGGCCGGGCCUUUCCCUCUGUGGAACCCCAUGCCCUUCACUGGGUGUGGCGGGGAAACAGGACUUUUACUUUGAAAAAAUUAGAGUGCUCCAGGCAGGCCUAUGCUCGAAUACAUUAGCAUGGAAUAAUAGAAUAGGACGUGUGGUUCUAUUUUGUUGGUUUCUAGGACCGCCGUAAUGAUUAAUAGGGACAGUCGGGGGCAUCAGUAUUCAAUUGUCAGAGGUGAAAUUCUUGGAUUUAUUGAAGACUAACUACUGCGAAAGCAUUUGCCAAGGAUGUUUUCAUUAAUCAGGAACGAAAGUUAGGGGAUCGAAGACGAUCAGAUACCGUCGUAGUCUUAACCAUAAACUAUGCCGACUAGGGAUCGGACGAUGUUAUUUUUUGACUCGUUCGGCAC
This 456-nucleotide ribosomal RNA is filed under the name uncultured fungus. Its description in RNAcentral is "SSU rRNA". It matches the Rfam family "Eukaryotic small subunit ribosomal RNA", at positions 624 to 1086 of the family's 1831-position model. The record is from RNAcentral. Lineage: Eukaryota; Fungi.